This 107-nucleotide ribosomal RNA is filed under the name Heterosigma akashiwo. Lineage: Eukaryota; Raphidophyceae; Chattonellales; Chattonellaceae. The record is from RNAcentral.
GAAAUUUUUAAUUUAUAAAAGACAAGCUGAUCCCGUUAGAACUCAAGAUUCUUAAACUUUUAUAAAGCCAGAAAUACUCAAUUGGGGAAGCAUGGUUACAAAAUUUU